This 439-nucleotide ribosomal RNA is filed under the name uncultured bacterium. Its description in RNAcentral is "partial 16S ribosomal RNA". It matches the Rfam family "Bacterial small subunit ribosomal RNA", at positions 339 to 795 of the family's 1533-position model. The record is from RNAcentral.
CUACGGGUGGCACCAGUGGGGAAUAUUGGACAAUGGGCGCAAGCCUGAUCCAGCAAUGCCGCGUGAGUGAAGACGGCCUUAGGGUUGUAAAACUCUUUCGCUAGGGAAGAUAAUGACUGUACCUAGUAAAGAAGUCCCGGCUAACUCCGUGCCAGCAGCUGCGGUAAUACGGAGGGGACUAGCGUUGUUCGGAAUUACUGGGCGUAAAGAGUUCGUAGGCGGACUGACAAGUUAGAGGUGAAAUCCCAGGGCUCAACCCUGGAACUGCCUUUAAAACUGUCAGUCUAGAGACCGGAAGAGGUUAGGGGAAUACCUAGUGUAGAGGUGAAAUUCGUAGAUAUUAGGUGGAACACCAGUGGCGAAGGCGCCUAACUGGUCCGGUACUGACGCUGAGGAACGAAAGCGUGGGGAGCAAACAGGAUUAGAUACCCUAGUAGUC